AUUGAACGCUGGCGGCAGGCCUAACACAUGCAAGUCGAGCGAGCGGCGGACGGGUGAGUAAUGUAUGGGGAUCUGCCCGAUAGAGGGGGAUAACUAAUGGAAACGGUGGCUAAUACCGCAUACUAUCGGAUGAACCCAUAGGGGAUUAGCUAGUAGGUGGGGGAAAGGCUAACCUAGACGUCGAUCUCUAACUGGUCUGAGAGGAUGAUCAGCCACACUGUGACUGAGACACGGUCCAGCCUCCUACGGGAGGCAGCAGUGGGGAAUAUUGCACGAUGGGCGCAAGCCUGAUGCAGCCAUGCCGCGUGUAUGAAGAGGGCUUUAGGGUUUGAAAGUACUUUCAGCGGGGAGGCGUUACCCGCAGAAGAAGCACCGGCUAACUCCGUGCCAGCAGCCGCGGUAAUUC
This 406-nucleotide ribosomal RNA is filed under the name uncultured bacterium. RNAcentral describes it as "partial 16S ribosomal RNA". It matches the Rfam family "Bacterial small subunit ribosomal RNA", at positions 30 to 526 of the family's 1533-position model. The record is from RNAcentral.